This 428-nucleotide ribosomal RNA is filed under the name uncultured bacterium. RNAcentral's name for it is "bacterial SSU rRNA". It matches the Rfam family "Bacterial small subunit ribosomal RNA", at positions 355 to 774 of the family's 1533-position model. The record is from RNAcentral.
UGGGGAAUUUUGCGCAAUGGGGGAAGCCCUGACGCAGCAACGCCGCGUGGGUGAUGAAGGCCUUCGGGUCGUAAAGCUCUGUCUGGAGGGAAGAAAUGAUUGGGAGCUAAUACCUCUUGAUCUUGACGGUACCUCUGAAGGAAGCACCGGCUAAUUCCGUGCCAGCAGCCGCGGUAAUACGGAGGGUGCAAGCGUUGUUCGGAAUUAUUGGGCGUAAAGCGCGUGUAGGCGGUCUUUUAAGUCUGAUGUGAAAGCCCCGGGCUCAACCUGGGAAGUGCAUUGGAAACUGGGAGGCUUGAGUACGGGAGAGGAGAGUGGAAUUCCUAGUGUAGGAGUGAAAUCCGUAGAUAUUAGGAGGAACACCGGUGGCGAAGGCGGCUCUCUGGACCGAUACUGACGCUGAGACGCGAAAGCGUGGGUAGCAAACA